AGAGCGAACGCUGGCGGCAGGCCUAACACAUGCAAGUCGAGCGCCCGUAGCAAUACGGGAGCGGCAGACGGGAUAGUAACACGUGGGAACGCGCCCUUCGGUUCGGAAUAACUCAGGGAAACUUGAGCUAAUACCGGAUACGCCCUUACGGGGAAAGAUUUAUUGCCGAAGGAACGGCCCGCGUCCGAUUAGCUAGUUGGUGAGGUAAUGGCUCACCGAGGCGACGAUCGGUAGCUGGUCUGAGAGGAUGACCAGCAUCACUGGGACUGAGACACGGCCCAGACUCCUACGGGAGGCAGCAGUGGGGAAUAUGGACAAUGGGCGCAAGCCUGAUCCAGCCAUGCCGCGUGGAUGAUGAAGGCCUUAGGGUUGUAAAGUCCUUUUAACGGGGAAGAUAAUGACGGUACCCGUAGAAUAAGCCCCGGCUAACUUCGUGCCAGCAGCCGC
Molecule: ribosomal RNA, 447 nt
Filed under: uncultured bacterium
Lineage: Bacteria
Description: SSU rRNA
Rfam family: Bacterial small subunit ribosomal RNA
Source: RNAcentral